CAGCACCUCAAGUGGUCAGGAUGAUUAUUGGGCCUAAAGCAUCCGUAGCCGGCGCUGUAAGUUUUCGGUUAAAUCUGUAUGCUCAACAUACAGGCUGCCGGGAAUAUUGCAGAGCUAGGGAGUGGGAGAGGUAGACGGUACUCGGUAGGAAGGGGUAAAAUCCUUUGAUCUAUUGAUGACCACCUGUGGCGAAGGCGGUCUACCAGAACACGUCCGACGGUGAGGGAUGAAAGCUGGGGGAGCAAACCGGAUUAGAUACCCGAGUAGUCC
This 270-nucleotide ribosomal RNA is filed under the name uncultured archaeon. RNAcentral's name for it is "partial 16S ribosomal RNA". It matches the Rfam family "Archaeal small subunit ribosomal RNA", at positions 477 to 747 of the family's 1478-position model. The record is from RNAcentral.